This 1354-nucleotide ribosomal RNA is filed under the name uncultured prokaryote. RNAcentral's name for it is "partial 16S ribosomal RNA". It matches the Rfam family "Bacterial small subunit ribosomal RNA". The record is from RNAcentral.
GGAUGAACGCUGGCGGGAUGCCUAACACAUGCAAGUCGAGCGGCAGCACUUCGGGUGGCGAGCGGCGAACGGCUGAGUAACAUGUUGGUACUCACCCCAUACUCAGGAAUAAGCCUUGGAAACGAGGUCUAAUGCCGGAUGACCCAGUAAUGGGAAAGACUUAUCGGUAUGGGAGAGGCCUGCAUCGUAUCUAGUUAGUUGGUGAGGUAAUAGCUCACCAAGGCUAUGACGGGUAUCUGGUGUGAGAGCACGACCAGACAGAAUGGGACUGAGACACGGCCCAUACUCCUACGGGAGGCAGCAGUGAGGAAUUUUCCGCAAUGGACGAAAGCCUGACGGAGCAAUCCCGCGUGCAGGAUGACACCUUUCGGGGCGUAAACUGCUUUUAUGAGGGAAGAAAUUUUGACGGUACCUCAUGAAUAAGGGGCUGCUAACUACGUGCCAGCAGCCGCGGUAAUACGUAGGCCCCAAGCGUUAUCCGAAAUUACUGGGUGUAAAGCGAUCGAAGGUGGACUUGUAAGUGAGGUGUAAAUACCUGCGGCUCAACCGAGGUGCUGCACUUCAAACUACAGGACUAGAGGAAUGCAGAGGAAACUGGAAUUUCUGUUGUAUGGGUAAAAUCCGUAGAUAACAGAAGGAACACCAAAAGCGAAGGCAGGUUUCUGGGCAUUUCCUGACACUGCACGAUCGAAAGCGUGGGGAGCGAAAGGGAUUAGAUACCCGUGUAGUCCACGCCCUAAACGAUGGAUACUCGGUGUAGGAGGGUCAAAUCCCCUUCUGUGCCCAAGCUAACGCGUUAAGUAUUCCGCCUGGGGAGUACGGUCGCAAGACUAAAACUCAAAGGAAUAGACGGGGAUCCACACAAGCGGUGGAGCAUCUGGUUUAAUUCGAUAAUAAGCGGGGAACCUUACCAGGUCUUGACAUCCCGAGAAUCUCAAUGAGAAUUGAGAGUGCCUUUCGAGGAACUCGGUGACAGGUGUUGCAUGGUUGUCGUCAGCUCGUGCCUUGAGGUGUGCGGUUAAGUCCGUGAACGAGCGCAACCCUCGUCGUACGUUGCAUUUUUCGUGCGAGACUGCCCGUUUUACGCGGGAGGAAGGUGAGGAUGACGUCAAAUCAGGAUGGCCCUUAUGAUCUGGGCGACACAGGUGCUACAAUGGCUGGUACAAAGGGCAGCGAAAUCGCGAGGGGGAGCCAAUCCCAAAAAACCGGUCUCAGUUCGGAUUGGAGUCUGCAACUCGACUCCAUGAAGCUGGAAUCGCUAGUAACCGUGAAUCAGCCACGUCACGGUGAAUAUGUUCCUGGAUCUUGUACUCACCGCCCGUCAAGUCACGAAAGGUAGGGGUGCCCAAAGUCG